UGGGGAAUUUUGGACAAUGGGGGAAACCCUGAUCCAGCCAUGCCGCGUGAGUGAAGAAGGCCUUCGGGUUGUAAAGCUCUUUCGGCCGGGACGAAAUCGCACGCGUGAAUAUCGCGUGUGGAUGACGGUACCGGAAGAAGAAGGACCGGCUAACUACGUGCCAGCAGCCGCGGUAAUACGUAGGGUCCGAGCGUUAAUCGGAAUUACUGGGCGUAAAGCGUGCGCAGGCGGUUUUGUAAGCCAGAUGUGAAAUCCCCGGGCUUAACCUGGGAACUGCAUUUGGGACUGCAAGGCUUGAGUACAGCAGAGGGGGGUAGAAUUCCUGGUGUAGCAGUGAAAUGCGUAGAUAUCAGGAGGAAUACCGAUGGCGAAGGCAGCCCCCUGGGUUGAUACUGACGCUCAUGCACGAAAGCGUGGGGAGCAAACAG
This 428-nucleotide ribosomal RNA is filed under the name uncultured bacterium. Its description in RNAcentral is "bacterial SSU rRNA". It matches the Rfam family "Bacterial small subunit ribosomal RNA", at positions 355 to 775 of the family's 1533-position model. The record is from RNAcentral.